UUGUAAUGAUGCGAGGAGACUACGUCUAAAGAAAGGAAAGUGAGGAGUUAGGUCAGAUUGAAACAAGUGAAGAGUGCAGGCAUCCGUGGCAUGCAGAUUAUUUAGAAAAAUAUUAUAUUGGAAAGCAAUCGGUUUGAAUGUACCCACAGCCUCGAUAAAGAUGCCUUUCCCUUUAAGAGCUGGAUCAGCAUUGCACAAGCCAUCAGGUGCACAGAAGCAGCAAACCAAGAAUAAACUGAUGUUAGAGUGAAACAAGAAACUUGUAAACAAAUGUUCUCCCCUCCCUCUUGCUCACUCCCUGUACUUUUCUUUUGUACUUAUUCUAUUGACUCAGGUCUACAGUAGCUACCUCUACUCUCGUAUAUACGCAGCAGUGGCAAGGAAA
Molecule: long non-coding RNA, 385 nt
Organism: Carassius carassius (crucian carp)
Lineage: Eukaryota; Metazoa; Chordata; Actinopteri; Cypriniformes; Cyprinidae
Exons: 2
Source: RefSeq, a predicted model, not a curated record